AAACGAUUGAAGUCAGUCGUGUGGAGGGUAUUCAGCCGUCUCUGGCGGUGUACUUGCCCUUCACGGGUCAACAUCAGUUUGAUCCGGUGGAAAAAGGCUGGGGGAAGGUGGCACCCUCGGGUGUGUUAUAGCCCCCUGUCACAUACACCGGACCAGACUGAGGAACGCAGCUCGCAGCAAUGCCGGGGUUCGCCCACGUACGAGCUUAGGAUGUUGACAUAAUGGCUUUAAACGA
RNAcentral lists this ribosomal RNA (235 nucleotides) under Vishniacozyma taibaiensis. RNAcentral's name for it is "partial large subunit ribosomal RNA". Lineage: Eukaryota; Fungi; Basidiomycota; Tremellomycetes; Tremellales; Bulleribasidiaceae. The record is from RNAcentral.